Molecule: ribosomal RNA, 496 nt
Filed under: uncultured bacterium
Lineage: Bacteria
Description: partial 16S ribosomal RNA
Rfam family: Bacterial small subunit ribosomal RNA
Source: RNAcentral
GAUGAACGCUAGCGGCAGGCCUAAUACAUGCAAGUCGAGGGGUAGAGGUUGCUUGCAACCUUGAGACCGGCGCACGGGUGCGUAACGCGUAUGCAACCUACCUUCAUCAGGGGGAUAGCCCGGAGAAAUCCGGAUUAACACCGCAUAAAAUCACAGUACGGCAUCGUACAAUGAUCAAACAUUCAUGGGAUGGAGAUGGGCAUGUGUGCCAUUAGCUAGUUGGCGGGGUAACGGCCCACCAAGGCUUCGAUGGCUAGGGGAUCUGAGAGGAUGGCCCCCCACACUGGUACUGAGCGACGGACCAGACUCCUACGGGAGGCAGCAGUAAGGAAUAUUGGUCAAUGGGCGCAAGCCUGAACCAGCCAUGCCGCGUGCAGGAAGACGGCCCUCCGGGUUGUAAACGGCUUUUAUUCGGGAAUAAACCUGUCUACGUGUAGACAGCUGAAUGUACCGAAGGAAUAAGGAUCGGCUAACUCCGUGCCAGCCGCCGCCGUAA